GUGAAUCAUCGAAUCUUUGAACGCAAAUUGCACUCUCUGGUAUUCCGGAGAGCAUGCCUGUUUGAGGGUCAGUUUAAAUAAAAAUAGGUGUGGUUGCUGCCUUUCGUGGUGACGCACCGGAUUUGGGUCUUCUUGCCUUCGGUUAAGUGACCUAAAUUUUUGCAUGAUUUUUUUCGAACGUAUUUUAAUGAUUCUACGUCAGUUUGGGAUAUCGAUUCCUAG
Molecule: unclassified non-coding RNA, 222 nt
Filed under: Glomus sp.
Lineage: Eukaryota; Fungi; Glomeromycota; Glomeromycetes; Glomerales; Glomeraceae
Description: partial contains 5.8S ribosomal RNA and internal transcribed spacer 2
Rfam family: 5.8S ribosomal RNA (bases 1-71)
Source: RNAcentral